GUAGGUGGCAAGCGUUGUCCGGAAUUAUUGGGCGUAAAGCGCGCGCAGGCGGUUUUUUAAGUCUGAUGUGAAAGCCCACGGCUCAACCGUGGAGGGUCAUUGGAAACUGGAGAACUUGAGUACAGAAGAGGAAAGCGGAAUUCCACGUGUAGCGGUGAAAUGCGUAGAGAUGUGGAGGAACACCAGUGGCGAAGGCGGCUUUCUGGUCUGUAACUGACGCUGAGGCGCGAAAGCGUGGGGAGCAAACAGGGAUUAGAUACCCUGGUAGUCCACGCCGUAAACGAUGAGUGCUAAGUGUUAGGGGGGUUUCCGCCCCCUUAGUGCUGCAGCUAACGCAUUAAGCACUCCGCCUGGGGAGUACGGCCGCAAGGCUG
This 374-nucleotide ribosomal RNA is filed under the name uncultured organism. Its description in RNAcentral is "partial 16S ribosomal RNA". It matches the Rfam family "Bacterial small subunit ribosomal RNA", at positions 527 to 896 of the family's 1533-position model. The record is from RNAcentral.